RNAcentral lists this long non-coding RNA (327 nucleotides) under Elaeis guineensis (African oil palm). Its description in RNAcentral is "long non-coding RNA (EGUI_LNC009148)". Lineage: Eukaryota; Viridiplantae; Streptophyta; Magnoliopsida; Arecales; Arecaceae. The record is from RNAcentral.
UAAGAGGAAGGUUAUAAAAAACUUAUCAAAUUUCAUCAUCUGUCAUAUAUAAGAUUUAAUUAGCUGGAGUUCAACUCAUGAUUUCUCAUGAAAACUUUUUUCUAUUAAUCAUAUCAUCGUGACUACGAUCUUAAGAACUCAACUUCAUAAAUCACAUAUGACUACUCCUUAACUAUUAAAAUCGAUAGAUCUCAUCUAAGUGCACAUCCUACUCCUACAGUGAAUUUACUGUGGCCAAUAUAUAUCGCAAGGACCUAUAUAACUAGGAGACCUAGGGAAUGUGCAAUCAAACUACAGUAAUCUUAUUAUGAAUAACCGAGGCAUCAC